This 253-nucleotide ribosomal RNA is filed under the name uncultured bacterium. RNAcentral describes it as "partial 16S ribosomal RNA". It matches the Rfam family "Bacterial small subunit ribosomal RNA", at positions 524 to 776 of the family's 1533-position model. The record is from RNAcentral.
UACAGAGGUGGCAAGCGUUGUUCGGAAUUACUGGGCGUAAAGCGCACGUAGGCGGCUCUUUAAGUCGGGGGUGAAAUCCUGGAGCUCAACUCCAGAACUGCCUUCGAUACUGUAGAGCUUGAGUUCGGGAGAGGUGAGUGGAACUGCGAGUGUAGAGGUGAAAUUCGUAGAUAUUCGCAAGAACACCAGUGGCGAAGGCGGCUCACUGGCCCGAUACUGACGCUGAGGUGCGAAAGCGUGGGGAGCAAACAGG